UCUUCCGAUCUGUCGGAACCAACAAGAUAGAAUGACGAGCCAACAUGGAGAACCUCAACUCAUAUUGCAACACGGUCAUCUCCCACUAACACAACAAUUCAAACUGCCUACACAACUCCUCUAUACAAGACUGUGGUACAUACUUCUCUAUAAAGAGAAUUGAGAACUGCUUCCAGGAAAGGGGUGCUGCACAAACAAGCCUACGCCUCUCAAAAUCCUCCAACCAAGCAAAAAAAACUCCUGAAAACUGAUAGGUGGUAAAAAGUGACCCCGCUGGUCUCCAGAAUACCUACAGUAUGAAGCAUCCCAGACACUUAUCCAAAAAUCCUAGGCAUCCUCUGCCCUCUAUGCCAUUGAAGGUCGGAAGCUGCAAUCUACCAAACUCUCCAAACUACGGUACUCAUCCUCCAGCUUGAAAGGAACUACAUAGUCCUGAGCAGCUGUAACCGGUUGGGCUAGAUGCGCCCCCAGCAUCUGAAGUCCCUGCACGACCUGCUCAUGUGUACGAGUGGCGGUGGUCAGAUUGCCUCUCCCGGCCUGAGAAGUAGUUGUGGCUGAAAUCGCCUGAGCCAGGCUAGUGCAAACUGAUAAGAUCUGUGCCAAGUCCUCCUGAAGACCCGGAGUCACAAUAGGCACAACUGGUGCAUGAGCUGGUGUUGCUGGAGCGUCCAUGGCUAGGACCUAGUCCUAAACUGGGGUAGCCAAUGAAUCUACAGGUGCUACCCUUGCUACUCUGCCUCUACCACAACCACGACCACGACCACGACCGAGUCCUCGGCCUCUGGUGGCCACAUCUAGUGGCACUGGUGAUCAUCCACCCUAUUCAGUAGCACGUGUCCUUGCCAUUUGUGAGAGAGUAGAAUAACAUAAGUUUAGUACCCAGAUCAACAAGUUUGAAUAACAAGAAUUUCAAGAGUUUGAUGUUUUUCCUAAUGGUUCUGCAGCCUGUCGAGGAUAAAUACAGACAUCUCCUUAUCAAUCUGCAAGACUCUACUAGACCUGCUCAUGACUUGUGAGACCUAUGUAACCUAGGCUCUGAUACCAACUUGUGACGGCACUAAACCCGGACCCGAUUGUAAUGGUGCCUCUCGUAAAGGCGAGGCCAACCAACACCUCCCAUUUUCCAUUUAUGAACAGGUAAGCAUUAAGAAUAGCAUAAAAUUGAUAAAAUAACUCCAAAAUAACAUAUAAUAACAUAAAUACGAGGAAAACACCCAUGCACAAUCCUAAUCGGGAUGUCACUUGUCAUGAGCAUCUAUAAGUCAUGAUACAAUUUUGCUAAAUCCAUAAACUAGUACAAAUGUCUGAAAGGAAAUAGAAGCGAUAAAGGAGUAGAGACACGGGACUGCGGAUGUCAAUGCUACCUCGUGAAUUCCAAACGUCCGCCUGAAGUUAGAGGGAUCAGCACUCGGGAGCAGAACCAACUACGCCUGAAUCUGCACCCAGGUUGCAGGGAGUAAAGUGAGUACUCCAACUCAGUGAGUAUAAAUGUAAAUAAUGACUGAAAGUGAAAAAAACACGUAAGGCACAAGGUAUUUUAUAAUGAAAUAGUAAACCCGUUCAAAAUAGUAAACUAGUGUAAAGUUAAGUGAAAUCCUUUUUCAUCAAGUAAUAAAGUAGUUGACAGGUAGUUAAGCAGAGUACACAUAUAGAAAUUCACCCCUCGAGCAGAGUAGCAACAAAUCCUCCCCUCGGGGAACAUCUCAGAACAAUACCAUCCCCUCGAUCUCAAUCUCACAUCACAAUGGGUACCCGCGCUGACUAGGGUGUGCAGAUACCUAGAGGGGCCCCUUACGGCCCAAGCGCAAUAACAAGCCAUCUCAUGUAAUCAAAACUAGGCCCUCGGCCUCAUAUUAAUCAAACAACCUCGUGGUGUACAUAUCUCAGGACCACGGCCUCAAAUCAGUAUAAGUGUGUUCCUCACAACAUAGGCCAUCGGCCUUACUCAUUAAAAAAUCCUCACAAGCCCCUCGGGUAAUAGUAAUACAGUGUUUCUCAUCCCAAACAUAAUUUAGAAUUUCAAUGAAGUUUUAAAACUGAGUAAACAUGACUGAUAAUGAAAACAAUGAGAAAGAACAUGACUAACUUCAGGUUUAUAUAAUCAAAACAAUGAUGAAAUACCAAUAAAAAGCUCGAAAGGGUACAAAUAGUUGGCACUAGGACCAAAUAUGGCGUUCCACCCAACUAAUAAUAAUAAAUAGAUUUAAAUCAAACACGCGAUAAAAUCAUCAAUCAAAACGGACCAAAUCAAAAUCCCCAAUAGUGCACGACCCCACACUCGUCAUCAAGCGUGCCUCACCUCAACAUAUCACUACGAUAUGCAAUCCGGAGUUUCAAAUAAUCAGAACAUCCUUUACCAUCAUUACUCACCUCAAACCGGUCAAAUCUCUAACUCGCAAUGCCUUUGCCCCUCGAAUCCGCCUCCACUCAUGUCAAAUCUAUCCAAAAUCAGAACGAGGACAUUAAAACAUAAUAAGGGAAUGACACCCAAUCAAAAAUGACACAACUCCCAAAAUUACCAAAGCUCGACACUGGGGCCCACGUCUCAGUAUUUAAUAAUUUUUACAUCAAUAGAUUUCUGAUCUCCCCACGAGUCUAUACAUAUCAAGAACACUGAAACCGGAUUCCAAAUGACCCCUCAAAUUCCCAUUUAAAGGCCUCUUAAACUCAAGCCCUGAUCCCCAAUUUUCUUCCUUAAUUUCAACUAAUACCAUGAUUAAACAAUGAAAAAUGAUAUUAAACCCAACUAAUUAAUCUUGGGAAACUUACCUGGAUGAUAUCCUUAGUUUCCUCUUGAAAUCCUAUGCCUUAGCCUCUUUUCCCGUCUUCAGAGUGAUGAACUUAACAAAAUUUCGCGAAGAAGACAAUAUAUUCCUUUUGGCCAUGGAUUUCCGCAUCUGCGACCAUUCCACCGCUUCUGCAGCACGACAUAUGCGGUUACUCCUCUGCUUCUGCGGAAAUCACAUAAGUUCCGAGCCAUCCACAAUCUGUGAUUUCGAAGAUGCGGUUCUCCUAGCCUCUUCUGCGGUCUCAGUCAAACAUACCUCAGGCCGCUUUUGCGGCCCCUCUCUUGCAUAUGCUGCACCGCAUCUACGGUCCCCAACCCGCAAGUACAAAAAUACCAGAAGAAGCAAUUCAGCAGCUGCAACAACAAUCCAAACUUCCCGUCAACCAUCCAAAAUCACCCUGAGGCCCUCGGGACCUCAACCAAAAUCACAACAUACCCUAAUACCUUAUUCAAACUUGUUUUAAUCAUCAAAACACCCCAAACAACAUCAAAUCACCCAAAACACAAUAGAUUCAAGCCAAACUUUCUGAAAUCUUUGGAAUUCCAUUUUUGAUAAAAAAUCCAACCAAACCAUGUCCAAAUGACCUGAAAUUUUACUCACACAUCCCAAAUGACCCAGCGAAACUACUUCAACACUUAAAAUUCCGUUUCGAUCCAUAUAUAAAAUCUCUCCUACCCAUCGAAAAUUCCCGAAAUAUCAACUUCAUCAAUUCAAGCCUAAAUCCACUCUGAACCUCUAAACCCUAUUCUGAUCACACUCCUAAGUCAGAAAUCACUUACCGAAGCUAUCCAAACCAUCGAAAUUCACAUCUCAACCCUCUAACACAUAAAUUAACAUCUGGUUGAUUUUUUCAACUCAGACUUCCUCAAAAGAGUCUAAGUGUCUCAAACCUUACUAAAUUUAUUUCGGAUACGAUUCGACCAAUCCUGAUACCAUAAAACACGGAUACCAAGGCUUAAAAAAGUGGAAAUAGGGAAAAUGGAAUGGCAACUCAUGGGAUGACUGUCCUGGUCAUCACAAAAAUAGAAUGAACCGUGAUCUCUUUGGAAUAGUAAAUGCUUCAUUGGGAAGUUAAAUGGUUGGUAUGUCCGUAUUGUGAUAGUAAAUAGGGAGUUAUGGAUUGAACGGUGCUAUACAGUGGAUAUUGAAAGGUGGUAACCCUGAUAUAUAUGCAUCAGUAGCUUCAACUACAUCAUCAUCCACAUCCACCAUUUUUUUGUUAGAAGUCUUACAUUGAUAAUUUGUUAGAAGUAUUACGCUGAGAAUUUAUUAUAAGUCUUACAUGAACAGGAACGAAAACAUGCUAUUGUAUUUAUUAAAUAAAUUUUACACUGAUUUUACAUUAAUGCCAAUUCCGAAAAAAUUAGAUAGUGUAUUUAUCAAAACAAUAUUGGCAUCUGAAACCAUUAAAUACAAUGCAACUAACACUAAUACAACUUGAAAAUCGAAAAAAGCAAUUAAAUACAAUAUUUCCAAAAUGCAUACACAACGAUUCAGAAAAAGAAGAGCAACAGUUAAUGCGUCCUUUUCUACUGGUAAGAAGAAGAGUCACAAGUAAAUUAAUGCGUACACAUCAACUAGGAAGAAGAAGAGUUGCAGGUAAAACAAUUUGGAGAUCAUCACCGGAUGAAAUACACUAUGUGCGAACUAAUUCAAAACUUAUAAAUAACUACGGUAGGUUAGAAGGUAGGGAUUUGUGACAACCCGUCCAGUCGUCUCAUGAGUUACCAUAUCUAUUAUUCCAAUUUUUGCUUCUUUACGCUUUGUUAUAUGUGUUUUGUGGUAUCGAAUUGGUCGGAUGUCCGGAAUUAUUUUCGUAAGGUAUGAGACACUUAGUCUCUUUUAAGGAAGUUUAAGUUGGAAAAGUCAACCGAAUAUUGACCUAUGUGUUGGAGGGCGCGGAUGUGAAUUUUGAUGGUUCGGUUAGGUCUGAGAGGUGAUUUAAGGUUAUGAGUGUGAUCAAAAAGGGUUUUGGAGGUCUGGAGUAGCUUUGGGCUUGAAGUGGCGAAGUUGAUAUUUUUGCAAUUUUUGGUUGGCAGGCGAGAUUUUUAUGUAAAGGGUCGAAAUGGGAUUUCGAGAGUUACAGUAGAUUCGUUGUGUCAUUUGGGAUAUGUGUGAAAAUUUUCAGGUCAUUCAAACGUGGUUCAAUUAGAAAGUUUGGAUUGAAUCUGAUGUGUUUUUGGUGAUUCAAUAUUGUUUGAGGUGUUUUGGUGACUGGAAAAAGUUUGAAUAUGAUAUUGGGUUAUGUUUGGGCUUUUGGUUGAGGUCCCGGGGGCCUCGGGGUGAUUUCAGAUAGUUAACAGAGGAGAUUAGAUGUUAUUGCAGCUGUUGAAGUUUGCCGCUUCUGGUGAUUUCGCACUUGCGGUUUAAGGACCACAAAUGCGGCACUGCAUAUGUGAUGGAAUGGAUGAAGAAGCAGAUUAUGAGGAUUUGUCUAGGACAACAAAAGCGGUCAGUAUGGUCGUAUCUGCGACGCAAAUGUAGAUAGCGUAUCAUAGAUGCGACUUUUGGGAUGUUAGUGAUUUUUGCAAAUUAGAGGAUUUAACCGCAAAUACGGUAUUGCGGAUGCAGUUGAAGCACCGCUGAGGCGAAAAGAACCAGGCGGAAGAAUUAAAAACAGUCCUUCACGAAUAUUGGAUUAGUUCACAAUUUUUAGACUUCGACUUGGAGCUUUUGAGGCAAUCUGAAAGAGCGAUUUUAAGGGAACUUCAUUGAGGUAAGGAACUUUGACUCGAAAUGCAUUCCUAUGCAUUAUUUCAUGUAUUAGAGCUAAAAAUUAAGGAAACUAAGGGUGAAAUUUGGGGUAACUUCGACUUAGAAUUGGACACUUAUGAUUGAGGGUUUGAUGGACCAUUUGAGGACAAAUUUGAGAACUUUUUAUAUGUAUGAAAUCGUGGGGAGAUGAGAAAUCUAUUGAUGUAAAAUUUAUGAAUUUUGAUUGUUUUCACUUGGGCUUUUUUCCCUUAGCAUAUUUUGAUGUCCUUGUUCUAAUUUUUGAUAGAUUCGACACCCGCGGAGGCCGAUUCAAGGGGGAUAGGCAUCAUGAGCUAGAGAUUUAGUUGGUUUAAGAUGAGUAAUAAUUGUAAAUGAUGUUCUGAGGGUUUGAAACCCCAGAGUGCACAUCAUAGUGCUAUUUUGAGGUGAGGCACAUGCUUGAUGACGAGCUUGGGCUCGUGCACUAUUGGGGAUUGUGACUUGGUCCUUCCCGAUUGAUGAUUUUACCGUGCAUUUGGUUUAACACUAAUUGCUAUCAUCAUUAUUUGGGUUGAAUGCCAUAUGUGGGCCUAGUGUCAACUAUUUGAAUCCCUUCAGGGCUUUUUAUUUAUAUUUCCUCACUGUUUUGACGUAUUACUUGAACUAGGUCAUGUUAUUUUUUACUGUUUUCAUACUCAACCAUGUUUACUCAGUUUUAAGACUUAAAUGAUAUUUUAAAUGAUGUUUGGGAUGAGAAACACUAUUUAACUGUUGCCCGAGAAUUUUGUGAGUAUUUUUGACUAAAUAAGGCCGAUGGCCUAUGUUGUGAGGAAACAUUAAUACCGAUUUGAGGCAGAGGGCCUGAGAUAUGUAAAGUACAAUGUGGCUUGAUUGACAUGAGGCCGAAGGCCUAGGCUGGGGACGUGAGGCCGAGGGCCUAGUGUGUACCUAUUGUGAUGUGAGAUUGAGCCCCAGGGGCUGAUACUAUUUUGAGAUAUUGCUCGAUGGGCGAAUUUGUGGAUACUGUACCCGAGGAUUUAAUUUUUAUUUGUUUGCUUUACCCUAGCUACAUGUCAAUAACUUGUUUACUUGUUGAAAGAGUAUUUUACUUGACUUUUCACUGGUUUACUGUUUUCAAAUGAUUUUAGUUCUUCAUUAUAGAAUGCCUUGUGUAUUAUGUGUUUUCUUACUUUCAGUAAUUUUUUACACUUGUUACUCACUGAGUUGGAGUACUCAAUUUACUCCCUGCACCCUAUGUGCACAUGUAGGCAUAGCUAGUUCUGCUCCCAAGGGCUGAUUCCUCCAACUUCAAGCGAGCUUCCAGAGAUUACGUGGUAGCCUGUUCUGAAUGCUUAACUGCUAAUAAUUGGAAAAUGUGAGGUGUUGGCUAACCUUAUCUUUACGAGAGGUGCUAUCACGACGAGGUCAGAUUUAGGGUCGUGGUAAGUUGGUAUUAGAGGCUAGGUUACAUAGGUCUCACGAGUUAUGAGCAGGUUUAGUAGAGUUUUGUAGAUCGGGAAGGAGAUGCCUGGAUUUAUCCUCGAGAGGCUGCAGAACCUUUUGGAAAAAAUUAAUAUGUUGUCGUGCGAACUUGUUCAUCUGAGUACUAAACUUUUUUUAUUCUAUCUUCUCACAGAUGGUGAGGACAUGCGCUACUGGACAAGGUGGAUGACCAUCAGUGCCACCGGCUAUGGCCACCAGGGGCCGAUGACAUGGUCGUAGUCAUGGUAGAGGCAGAACAGCGAGGGCAUCACUUACAGAUCCACCUGUUACCCCAGCUCAGGAUUAAGCUCCAGCUAUGGAAAAUAUAGCAGCACUAGUUCAAGCAUCAACUGUGCCCACCCUGAUUCCGCGUAUUCAGGAGGCCUUGGCUUAGAUCCUAUCGGUUUGCACUGGCCUGGCUCAGACAGUUUCUGCUACUACAGCUGCAGCUAGUUCUCAGGCCGAGGGAGGCAUUCAGACUCCUGUCACUCGCACACCUGAAUAGGUCGUGUAGGGGCUUCAAAUUUUGGUGGCACAUCCACCAUAGUCGGUUAUAGCUGCUUAAGGCUAUGUUGUUCCUGUCAUGCCGGAGGAUUAACAGCAUAUGUUGGAGAGAUUUGGUAGAAUGCAGGCUCCGACCUUUAGUGGUGCAGAUGGUGAGGAUGCCCAUGGCUUUUUCGAUAAGUGUGAGAGGAUUCUUUGUACUGCAGGUAUUCUGGAGACCAGCGGGAUCGCUUUUACUACCAAUCAGCUUUCAGGAGCUACUUUCAUUUUGUGGGAGGAUUUUGAGAGGAGUAAGCAUGUCGCUAUAGCACCCUUUUCCUAGCAGCAGUUCUCCAUUCUCUUGUUUGAAAAGUAUGUGCCGCAGUCUCACAGAGAGGAGCUACAUAAGCAGUAGAAAUGGUUGCGUCAGGGGGAUAUGACUGUGGCGUAGUAUGAGUUGAGGUUUUAUGUGUUGGCUCGUCAUGCCAUCUAGUUGGUUCCAAUAGAUCGAGAGAGGAUCAAGAGGUUAGUUGAUGCUCUUACUUACCAGCUCCAUAUUCUUAUGACAUGGGAGAGGGUAUCUGGUUCUACUUUCAUGGAGGUAUUUGAUUUAUCCUGUGAGAUUGAGUUUGUUCAUCGUCAGAAGUGAGAGAAGGGGGAGGCCAAGAGGCCUUGAGGAUCUAGUAGCUAUAGUGGUACUCCUUCGAGGGAUCAGUUUCAGCACGAUAGAGGUCGUCCAUUUAGGUCUACGCAACCAGCUCGCCUAGGUUAUCGUAGGGAAUCUUUGGGUCAUUGUUUUAGUCGGGAUAGUCAUCACUCAGUGCUCUUCAAGCUCAGAGUUUGACCCGUGCUCCAUCAGUUCAAGGCUCUUCCAUAGCGAGUGCAUCUGCUAGUCACUCUAGUAUGAGGGGUUUCCUUCAUUUCCCUUCUCCAUCACCUGGGAAACGUUAUGAAUGUGAUGAGAUGGGUCACAUAUGGAGGCAGUGUCCUCAUCGUUUGCCAGUUCAACUGAGCAGUGAUGUUAGUUAUCAGCAUUAGUGCCAGUUUCAUCACCACCGCCCGCACAGUCAUCUCGGGGUGGGGGUCAGUAAGCUAGGCGUCGCCCCAGAGGAGAAGGUCAAUCAGGGGAUGGUCAGGCCUAUUUCUAUGCACUCCCAGGCAGAACCGAUGUUAUUGGUUCAGAUGCUGUUAUUACAUGUGUUAUUCAGUCUGCCAUAGAGAUGCCUCUGUAUUAUUUGAUCCCGAUUCCACCUUUUUAUUAUGUGUCAUCAUAUUUAUCUCAUUAUUUGGAUAUGCACCAAGAGUUUUUUGCUUUACCUGUUCAUGUAUAUACCCCGGUUUGUGAUAUUGUUGUCGUAGACCAUGUGUACCGGUCGUGUGUGGUGACUUUAAGGGAUUUUGAGACCAGAGUGGAUCUAUUACUAUCGAGCAUGGUGGAUUUAAAUGAAAUUUUGGGCAUGGAUUGGUCAUCUCAGUGCCGUGCUAAUCUGGACUAUCAUGCUAAGACAGUCAUAUUGGCUAUGAUGGGUGUGCCACGGAUCGAGUGGCGAGGUGUGACUAAUUAUUUCCCUAGUAGAGAGAUCUCUUUCUUGAAGGCCCGGUGUAUGGUUGUGAAUGGUUUUCUUUCAUAUCUAGCAUUUGUGAGGGAAGUUGGAGCUGAGACUCCCAGUAUUGAUUUUGUUCCAGUUGUGAGGGAUUUACUGAUGUGUUUCCUGCAGACCUACCGGGCAUUCCACUAGAUAGGGAUAUUGAUUUUGGCAUUGACACGGUGUCCGGCACUCAGCCUAUUUCUAUUCUGCCAUUUCGUAUGGCACUAGCGGGUUUGAAGGAGUUAAAGGACAAGCUUAUGGAACUCCUAAAUAAGGGGUUCAUGCGGCCUAGUGUGUCACAUUGGGGUGCGCUGGUUCUAUUAUUGAAGAAGAAGAUGUCAAAAUGAGAAUGUACAUUGAUUUGAUGCAAUUGAACAAGGUAACAAUUAAGAACAAGUAUCAUUUGUCUCACAUUGAUGAUUUACUCGACCAGCUUCAAGGAGCGAAGGGGUUCUCCAAGAUUGAUCUCCUUUCAGGUUAUCACCAAUUGAAGAUCACGUAUUUUGGAUACUCUGAAGAUGGCCUUCAGGACCCGAUAUAGUCAUUAUGAGUUCUUGGUGAAGUUCUUUGGGCUGACCAAUGCCCUAGUAGCAUUCAUGCAUUUGAUGAACAACCUGUUCCGGCCUUAUUUCGAUUCAUUUGUCAUAGUCUUAAUUGAUGAUAUUCUGAUGUAUUCGCGUACUCAGGAGGAGAACACAGAGCAUUUGAGAGUUGUGUUGCAGAGAUUGAGGGAGGAGAAGCUUUUUGCAAUAUUCUCCAAGUGUGUGUUUUGGUUCAGUUGAGUGGAUUUCUUGGGGCACGUGCUAUACAGCGAGGGUAUUCAGGUUGUUCCGAAGAAGAUAGAGGUGGUUCAGAGUUGGCCCAGACCGUCCUUAGACACAGCGAUUCGGGGCUUUUUCGGUUUGGCAAGCUAUUAUCACAGGUUUUUUUAGGGAUUCUCAUCUAUCGCAUAGCCCUUUAUCAAGUUGACUCAAAAAGGUGCUUCAUAUGUAUGGUCAGACGAGUGUGAGGAGAGCUUUCAGAUGCUGAAGACAACUUUGACCACAACUCCAUUAUUGGGUUUGCCAUCAGCUUUCGAGAGUUGGGAUUGGUUGUGUGUUGAUGCAGGAGGGUGGAGUUAUUUCUUAUGCUUAUCGUCAGUUGAAGCCCCAUGAGAAGAACUACACCGUUCAAGAUUAUGACUUGGCUUCCAUAGUUCACGAAUUGAAGAUUUGGAUGCAUUACUUGUAUGGUGUAUCUUGUGAGGUGUUCACUGAUCAUCGCAGUCUUCAGCAUUUGUUCAAGCAAAAGAAUCUUUAUUUGAGACAGCGGAGAUGGUUGGAGUUACUUAAGGAUUAUGAUAUCACUAUAUUGUACCAUCCGGCAGAGGCCAAUGUGGAUGCCGAUGCUUUGACCCGAAAGGCAGUGAGUAUGGGGAGUUUAGCAUGUAUUCCAAUUGGGAGAUACCUCUUGAAGUUUAUGUUCAUGCCUUGGCCAAUUGGUUCGUGAGAUUGGACAAUUCGGAGCUUAUCUUUUGUGGUUUUUCUGUCUUUCUUGUAUGAUCGCAUCAGAGAGUGCCAAUAUGAUGAUCUGCAUUUUCUUGUCCUUAUGGACAAAGUUCAGUAUGAUGAUGCCAGCGAUGUGACCAUUGGUGAUGAUGGGGUGUUAGGAUGCAUGGCUGGAUUUGUAUGCCCAAUAUGGAUUGGCUUCGGGAGUUGAUUCUGGAGGAGGUCCAUAGCUCACAAUAUUCCAUUUACCCAGAUGCUGCAAAGAUGUAAUUGGAGUUGAGGCAGCACGAUCGGUGGAGAAGGAUGAAGAAAGAUAUUAUGGGAUUUGUAGCUCCGUGUCUCAAUUUUCAGCAGGUAAAAUAUGAGCAUUAGAGACCGGGUGGUUUGCUACAGCAGAUGGAGAUUCGUGAGUGGAAGUGGGAGAGGAUCACUAUGGACUUUGUUGUUGGACUUCCAAGGGCUUUGAAGAAGUUCGAUACUAUUUGGGUGAUUGUGGAUCGGCUGACCAAGUCCGCGCACUUCAAUCCUGUCUGUACCACCUAUUCUUCAGAGCGGUUGGGCAGUGAUAUAUAUAUGAGAGAUUCUUUGCUUGCAUAGUGUUCCGGUUUCCAUCAUUUCAGAUUGAGGUACUAAGUUUACUUCACAAUUUUGGAGGUCCGUACAAAGAGAAUUAGGUACUUAGUGGAGUUGAGCAUAGUUUUUCAUCGGAUGAGUUCCUACCGCUUGCAGAGUUUGCUUAUAAUACUAGCUACCAGUCGAAUAUUCAAAAGGCUCUAUAUGAGGCUUUGUAUGGGAGGCGGUGUAGAUCUCUAAUUGGUUGUGUCACACCUCCUUUUUCCUACACCCUGUAAGGUAAUAAGGGAGUUCGUCCAAUUAAAGUGACAAUCCAAACGGGAUUAUUCAAUUAAAAAGAUUCAGAGUUGCCACUUUGGAUAAUUUAUGGUGUGCCAAGUCAUCAGUUCAAAUCCAAAAUCGAGGAAAAGAUUAACUCUAUUUUACAGUCAGAGAACACAAAUAUCUAGGUAAGGAAUUUUGUUAAUCCAUAGAAGGUGUAAGGCAUUCCCGAGCUCCGUGGUUCUAGCACGAUCGCUCAAGUAUUAUUAUUGGCCUCAUUAUCUGAUUUUAAAGCAUUUUUGAACCUAUGUGAAUUUUUCUUUGAAGCCGCUUUUAUUUAUUGAGGAUUUAGCAUCGACUAAAACAUGUCCUUUGAUCGCGCCACAUGAAAUGCACCCGCAAUCCGAAAAAUAUUUUAUUCAACGUUAUUAAGAUUUGGAUUUGGGCCACAUGAAAUGCACACAUGAGUUUAGGAAGGUAAUAUUAUUAAAAUAACAUACCUAAAGAAACUAUGCGUUUUAACUUUGCGAGGGCCAUAAAAAAUUUGCUAAACGACACACCUCGAAUUUUAAGGAUUUUAAAAGAAAUAAUUAAAUGAGGGCCACGCAUUUGAGAUUUUAUUUAGCGCGGCGCACCUCAAUUUCGAUUUUUAAAAGGGAAUUCAAACUACACUUUGGAGGGCCAUAAACUAUUUAUUAUCUAGUAUGGUUCACCCCCACUAAUUAUAGAAACUCAACUACCUAAAUAUUAAUGGGUAAGUAUUUCAAGCUAAGAGAAUACAUUUUAAUUAAGAAAGGAGCUAAAUGGUUCAAAGUUAAAAUUUGGGCCCACCACGAUGCCCAAUAGCCUAUAGAUGCAGUGCCCUUUUGAAUUACAAAUUAUCAUUAAUCCAAGCUAAGGUCCACGAGGGAACCCAAAUUGAACCAAGAUCGGAUUCAGCAAGAAAUCGGGUCCAUGGUUUGAUCCCACAAAUCAACACAAGGGGUCAGUUUUUGCAUUCAAUUCUACAACCCACGUUACUUUUCCUUAGGGGAUUAAACAAUUUCUAAUUUUACACACUUAUAGACACCUUCCAUGCGAAUACUAUAAUCAAACAUCAAUGCAUGUCUAAAUUAAACAGCAAUCCGAGAGUCAUUCUUGAGACUAACACAUAAUUGUUCAAGUGACAUGCUCACAUCAAUCGAUUCACCAUGAUGCAAAAAUCCAAUAGUGUCUUAUGACCGUUCAUAAUUAGAAUCUUAACUUAGAAUUAACAAUGAACCUUCAAAUCUAAAGGAAGAAGAAUGAUACACAUUUGAAGGUUGAUGAGCUAAUUUAGAUGCGUAAGUAUUGUCAGUACUUUUACUUAGCCAAGCAAAGAAAUUAGAGCUAAUUCCAAACCCUUAACAUAACAAAUGCACUUAGAUUCCAUUUGAUAAGAGAUCUACAUAAUAAUCUAUAACAUGAUUCCACAGACUAAAUGAAGUGAAAAUCAAAACUAGCUUAGCUUCAAACUUUUAUCAUAGCUAUUCAUAUACGACCAAUUCACUUUUUAGGAAAUAACAUAGAUCAAAGCCCCAAUUGAAUUUAAUCAACAAGUUAACCAAUCCAAACUCUGCAUGCUUUUUCGUAGUUCAGAAUUUAAUAUUCACACUUUCAAAGGAUACUAGUUCAUCUAGAAAACUAAACUCUAUAUUUAUUACAGAUAUAAAUGAGAAAAAAUAGAAGGAGAAAAACUUAAAUCAACUUCAUAUUCAUUCAAAAUUCCAUUGGAACAUGAAACUCUACAACCACUGGCUCUCCAUAGUUUAUAGGUUUACUUGGAGAUUGAAAGGGAAUAUAGAAAUGAGUAAUCAGUGGUUGAGCACCAAUAUGCAACAGAAAUAACCAAGAAAAUUAGCUCCAAACCCCAAAUGGUAUGCAGUAAUCCCAAAGAAAAAGGUUCUGUAGAACCAGAACCCAGCCAACUUGGAACCAAACUUUAAUACCAAACUUUAAACCAAAUCCAAAUCAUUUUAAAAUCCUACAAGGAAGAACUACUAUUUUUCAAACUUUGAAAAGAAUAAAAAUUUUACAGGAAUUCAAUGUAACACUAGAACUUGUUUGCCCUUUGUAUUUUCUUAAAACUAAUCUCUAAAAUCUCUUUCUGAAUAGCAAGGAACUGAUGUCUUCAUAGGCAAGAAAAUAGGGCAGCCCUAAGGAAAUAGUUUUUGCAACUAUGCCCUUUUCCAAUUUUUUUUUUCUUAGCUAGCAUUAAUUAGUUUCCAAAGUUUCAAAAUAAUCUCAAAGUCAGCUUCCAAGAAGCUUCCAUUUCAGUUGCACCCUAGAUUCCUUAAACCAAUUUCCUAAAUUGCCCACCCAAUUCCCUGAUUUUACUCUCAUAAUCACCCGAGUCAACUAACCAACAAAUGGGUAUGCAUACCAAAUUAAAACCCCAACCAUACCCCUUUUGGGGCUUUCGACUUUCAGAAGCCCAAUUAGGAUCAAACUAGGAAUCCUUUAUUUUAAGAACUAAUCCAAAGUUUCCGAAAGAAAAGCCCCCAAAAAUCUUUUUAAAAUGUAAUCAAAAAAUGAUGAAGGCACAUGAAUCUAUUAUCUUAAGAUAAUAGCAAAAUUUAACUAAAUUAGACCUAUUUACAUUAACUAAGUGAAAAUUACGAAAAAGAACUUGAUCAUGAUUAACGAACUACAAAAAUAAAUAGAAAUCGAUUUCAUAAUGUAUAAAGGAGAAAGGAGAAAGGAGAAAAGGAAAACAAAAUAAAUGGUGAACAGGAGGGAAAUUUGAACUUAGAGGCGAAUUAGAUUAUUAUGAAAACUCAGUUAAAGAAAAGGAGAGAGGAGGAUAGUGGGAGAAAGAAAACAUAAAAGGGACAGGAAUUUACCAGAUCGGACCUUGAAACCAAACUGAAGCAAAACUUAACCAAACUUAUGUCGAAUCUGUUGUUCUUUGUCAAGAACAACUAAAUCGACAUCACAUUCAUCGAGUCAGACCCUCAAACUUUGAAAGAAAAGCGAUGCAUGCUACCAGGUUCGACGGAAGAUGAUUUUGAAUUUUUGGGUUGAACUCAGAUUUAAGAUUCAACGGGUUCAACGUUAAUUCGUGGGGUAUAGGUCAUGGAUUUGGAUAAAGGAGAUCAUGGUGAGCCUGUUGUGUGAUUUUUGUAGGGGAUGUAAUGGUUUGGGGCUGGGCCGCCGCCAGGAAGGCUGACGGAUUUGCGGGCGAGUAGAUUAAGUCUCUGGAAUUUACUUUUGGAGAAGAUGAGAGACGAUGGGGG
RNAcentral lists this long non-coding RNA (14612 nucleotides) under Nicotiana benthamiana. Its description in RNAcentral is "long non-coding RNA (NBEN_LNC035289)". The record is from RNAcentral. Lineage: Eukaryota; Viridiplantae; Streptophyta; Magnoliopsida; Solanales; Solanaceae.